GAUGAAGAACGCAGUGAAAUGCGAUAAGUAAUGUGAAUUGCAGAAUUCAGUGAAUCAUCGAAUCUUUGAACGCACAUUGCGCCCGCCAGCAUUCUGGCGGGCAUGCCUGUUCGAGCGUCAUUUCAACCCUCGAGCCCCCCUGGGGGCCUCGGUGUUGGGGGACGGCACACCAGCCGCCCCCGAAAUGCAGUGGCGACCCCGCCGCAGCCUCCCCUGCGUAGUAGCACACACCUCGCACCGGAGCGCGGAGGCGGUCACGCCGUAAAACGCCCAACUUUCUUAGAGUUGACCUCGGAUCAGGUAGGAAUACCCGCUGAACUUAAGCAUAUAAUAAGCGGAGGA
This 342-nucleotide unclassified non-coding RNA is filed under the name soil metagenome. Its description in RNAcentral is "partial contains 5.8S ribosomal RNA, internal transcribed spacer 2, and large subunit ribosomal RNA". The stretch from base 1 to 120 matches the Rfam family "5.8S ribosomal RNA", at positions 35 to 154 of the family's 154-position model. The record is from RNAcentral.